This is a long non-coding RNA of Oncorhynchus tshawytscha (Chinook salmon), 1176 nucleotides long. The record is from Ensembl. Lineage: Eukaryota; Metazoa; Chordata; Actinopteri; Salmoniformes; Salmonidae.
CAGGGAUACUGGCCCAUGUGGACUCUACAAGGUGUUGAAAGCAGGGAUACUGGCCCAUGUGGACUCUACAAGGUGUUGAAAGCAGGGAUGCUGGCCCAUGUUGACUCUACAAGGUGUUGAAAGCAGGGAUACUGGCCCAUGUGGACUCUACAAGGUGUUGAAAGGGUUCCACAGGGAUGCUGGCCCAUGUUGACUCUACAAGGUGUUGAAAGCAGGGAUACUGGCCCAUGUGGACUCUACAAGGUGUUGAAAGCAGGGAUGCUGGUCCAUGUUGACUCUACAAGGUGUUGAAAGCAGGGAUACUGGCCCAUGUGGACUCUACAAUGUGUUGAAAGCAGGGAUACUGGCCCAUGUGGACUCUACAAGGUGUUGAAAGCAGGGAUGCUGGCCCAUGUUGACUCUACAAGGUGAGGAAAGCAGGGAUACUGGCCCAUGUUGACUCUACAAGGUGUUGAAAGCGUUCCACAGGGAUGCUGGUCCAUGUUGACUCUACAAGGUGUUGAAAGCUUUCCACAGGGAUGCUGGUCCAUGUUGACUCUACAAGGUGUUGAAAGCUUUCCACAGGGAUGCUGGUCCAUGUUGACUCUACAAGGUGUCCAAAGCGUUCCACAGGGAUGCUGGUCCAUGUUGACUCUACAAGGUGUUGAAAGCAGGGAUACUGGCCCAUGUGGACUCUACAAGGUGUUGAAAGCAGGGAUACUGGCCCAUGUGGACUCUACAAGGUGUUGAAAGCAGGGAUGCUGGCCCAUGUUGACUCUACAAGGUGUUGAAAGCAGGGAUACUGGCCCAUGUGGACUCUACAAGGUGUUGAAAGCAGGGAUACUGGCCCAUGUGGACUCUACAAGGUGUUGAAAGCAGGGAUGCUGGCCCAUGUUGACUCUACAAGGUGUUGAAAGCAGGGAUACUGGCCCAUGUGGACUCUACAAGGUGUUGAAAGCAGGGAUACUGGCCCAUGUGGACUCUACAAGGUGUUGAAAGGGUUCCACAGGGAUGCUGGCCCAUGUUGACUCUACAAGGUGUUGAAAGCGUUCCACAGGGAUGCUGGCCCUUGUUGACUCUACAACGUGUUGAAAGCGUUCCACAGGGAUGCUGGCCCAUGUUGACUCUACAAGGUGUUGAAAGGGUUCCACAGGGAUGCUGGCCCAUGUUGACUCUACAAGGUGUUGAAAGCGUUCC